This 74-nucleotide transfer RNA is filed under the name Sphaerodactylus townsendi. RNAcentral's name for it is "tRNA-Gly". Lineage: Eukaryota; Metazoa; Chordata; Lepidosauria; Squamata; Sphaerodactylidae. The record is from RNAcentral.
GAGCCGCUUGGCGUAGUGGUUAAGUGCUUGCAUUGCCACUUACACGGUCAGGAGUUCGAGCCCCCUGUGGGUCA